CAUCCUCCAAGGCUAAAUACUCCUGACUGACCGAUAGUGAACCAGUACCGUGAGGGAAAGGCGAAAAGAACCCCGGCGAGGGGAGUGAAAAAGAACCUGAAACCGUGUACGUACAAGCAGUGGGAGCACAGGUUUACCUGUGUGACUGCGUACCUUUUGUAUAAUGGGUCAGCGACUUAUAUUCUGUAGCAAGGUUAACCGAAUAGGGGAGCCGGAGGGAAACCGAGUCUUAAUUGGGCGUUAAGUUGCAGGGUAUAGACCCGAAACCCGGUGAUCUAGCCAUGGGCAGGUUGAAGGUUGGGUAACACUAACUGGAGGACCGAACCGACUAAUGUUGAAAAA
Molecule: ribosomal RNA, 342 nt
Filed under: Salmonella enterica subsp. enterica
Lineage: Bacteria; Pseudomonadati; Pseudomonadota; Gammaproteobacteria; Enterobacterales; Enterobacteriaceae
Also listed under: 1 other name
Description: partial 23S ribosomal RNA
Rfam family: Bacterial large subunit ribosomal RNA
Source: RNAcentral